GACGAACGCUGGCGGCGUGCUUAACACAUGCAAGUCGAACGGAAAGGCCCUGCUUUUGUGGGGUGCUCGAGUGGCGAACGGGUGAGUAACACGUGAGUAACCUGCCCUUGACUUUGGGAUAACUUCAGGAAACUGGGGCUAAUACCGGAUAGGAGCUCCUGCUGCAUGGUGGGGGUUGGAAAGUUUCGGCGGUUGGGGAUGGACUCGCGGCUUAUCAGCUUGUUGGUGGGGUAGUGGCUUACCAAGGCUUUGACGGGUAGCCGGCCUGAGAGGGUGACCGGCCACAUUGGGACUGAGGUAAGGCAGAGACUCCUAAGGGAGGCAGAAGUGGGGAAGAUUGCACCAUGGACGGAAGCCUGAUGAAGCAACGCCGCGUGCGGGAUGACGGCCUUCGGGUUGUAAACCGCUUUCGCCUGUGACGAAGGGUGAGUGGCGGUAAUGGGUAGAGAAGCAACGGCUAACUACGUG
This 468-nucleotide ribosomal RNA is filed under the name uncultured bacterium. RNAcentral describes it as "partial 16S ribosomal RNA". It matches the Rfam family "Bacterial small subunit ribosomal RNA", at positions 28 to 507 of the family's 1533-position model. The record is from RNAcentral.